UUCCUUUGUUGAGAUAUGAAAUAAUUCCUUUAUAAAACUUUUGAGCCAAUGACACAUUGGCAUAAGGGUUGCCGUCUGUAGGCCAUCCUAUUUCUCCCACAAUAAGGGUCAUGUUCCCAUACCCUGCUCCAGCCAGAGCAGCUGCGCAAGUGUCGAGAUUGGCAUCAAAGCAAUUGGUGUAUUCAGUACCAUCUUUUUCCUUAAGAGGAUUGCUCACACCAUCAAAAAAGGCGUAGUCAAAAGGGAAGUUACCAUUUCCAUAGAAAAGACUUAGAAAAGGAUAUAUAUUGACCAUGAAAGGUGCUUUGUUCUUGUUCAAAACCUUAAGAAUGUAGUUGAGUGGAUCGGCGAUGUCAGGGCGAAAAUAUCCACUAGAGGGGGCAGGAUUCCAUGACAAGUAAACAUCACCAUUUAGAGGUACAGUUGCCUUGAUGGUGUCACCAAGUCCAGCGUCAUUUAGUGCAUUUUGCAUGUUCUC
RNAcentral lists this long non-coding RNA (478 nucleotides) under Capsicum annuum. RNAcentral describes it as "long non-coding RNA (CANN_LNC013750)". Lineage: Eukaryota; Viridiplantae; Streptophyta; Magnoliopsida; Solanales; Solanaceae. The record is from RNAcentral.